UUUUGUCUGCGGUGUUCGUGGUAUGGAAAAUUCGUAAUCCACAAAGUAAAAAAGGGAGCGUAUCGUUCGCGGAAAUAGUCAAGGUCUGGUUUCGGAAAGUACGAUGUUUCGCCUCGGCGCACCCACCUGCGAGAUGCGGGUUAAUACUUUUUCAUAUCACGGCACAGGCGGAUUUUUU
RNAcentral lists this non-coding RNA (178 nucleotides) under Clostridia bacterium. Its description in RNAcentral is "6S RNA". It matches the Rfam family "6S / SsrS RNA". From Rfam's summary of the family: E. coli 6S RNA was the first non coding RNA to be sequenced, but its function was unknown until recently. It consists of 184 nucleotides that fold into an extended hairpin structure with a large single-stranded internal bulge. The record is from RNAcentral. Lineage: Bacteria; Bacillati; Bacillota; Clostridia.